RNAcentral lists this ribosomal RNA (375 nucleotides) under uncultured organism. Its description in RNAcentral is "partial 16S ribosomal RNA". It matches the Rfam family "Bacterial small subunit ribosomal RNA", at positions 527 to 896 of the family's 1533-position model. The record is from RNAcentral.
GAAGGGGGCGAGCGUUAUUCGGAAUCACUGGGGCGUAAAGAGUGCGUAGGUGGCAAUUUAAGUCAGUCGGUUAAAUAUCACGGCUUAACCGUGAAGGGUGCGAUUGAUACUGGAUAGCUAGAGGGCAAGAGAGAGAAGUGGAAUUCCCGGAGUAGCGGUAAAAUGCGUAGAUCUCGGGAGGAACACCGAUUGCGAAGGCAGCUUCUUGGCUUGUUACUGACACUGAGGCACGAAAGCGUGGGGAGCAAACAGGAUUAGAUACCCUGGUAGUCCACGCCGUAAACGAUGAUCACUAGAUGUGGGUUGGCCUUGAGCCGAUCUGUGUCGUAGCUAACGCGUUAAGUGAUCCGCCUGGGGAGUACGAUCGCAAGAUUA